CAGCAGCCGCGGUAAGACGGGAGGUGCAAGCGUUGUCCGGAAUUACUGGGCGUAAAGCGUCCGUAGGCGGUUCAGAAAGUCUGCUGUUAAAGCUCACAGCUCAACUGUGAAUCGGCAGUGGAAACUUCUGGACUAGAGAGUGGUAGGGGUAGAGGGAAUUCCUAGUGUAGCGGUGAAAUGCGUAGAUAUUAGGAAGAACACCAGUGGCGAAGGCGCUCUACUGGGCCAUAACUGACACUGAUGGACGAAAGCUAGGGGAGCGAAAGGGAUUAGAUACCCCUGUAGUCCUAGCUGUAAACGAUGGAUACUAGGUGUUGGCCGUAUCGACCCGGUCAGUAUCGAAGCAAACGCGUUAAGUAUCCCGCCUGGGGAGUACGCACGCAAGUGUGAAACUCAAAGGAAUUGACGGGGGCCCGCACAAGCGGUGGAGUAUGUGGUUUAAUUCGAUGCAACGCGAAGAACCUUACCAGGGAUUGACAUCCUACGAAUCCUCUUGAAAGGGAGGAGUGCCUUCGGGAGCGUAGAGACAGGUGGUGCAUGGCUGUCGUCAGCUCGUGUCGUGAGAUGUUGGAUUAAGUCCCGCAACGAGCGCAACCCUCGUCCUUAGUUGCCAUCAUUAAGUUGGGCACUUUAAGGAGACUGCCGGUGACAAACCGGAGGAAGGUGGGGAUGACGUCAAGUCAUCAUGCCCCUUACAUCCUGGGCUACACACGUACUACAAUGCAACGGACAAAGGGCAGCCAACUAGCGAUAGUGCGCUAAUCCCAUAAACCGUUGCUCAGUUCAGAUUGCAGGCUGCAACUCGCCUGCAUGAAGGCGGAAUCGCUAGUAAUCGCAGGUCAGCAUACUGCGGUGAAUACGUUCCCGGGCCUUGUACACACCGCCCGUCACACCAUGGAAGUUGGCCACGCCCGAAGUCGUUACCCCAACCCUUGUGGAGGGGGACGCCGAAGGC
Molecule: ribosomal RNA, 955 nt
Filed under: uncultured cyanobacterium QSSC9L-4
Lineage: Bacteria; Bacillati; Cyanobacteriota
Description: bacterial SSU rRNA
Rfam family: Bacterial small subunit ribosomal RNA
Source: RNAcentral